GAUGAACGCUGGCGGCGUGCCUAACACAUGCAAGUCGAGCGAUUUACUUCGGUAAAGAGCGGCGGACGGGUGAGUAACGCGUGGGUAACCUGCCCUGUACACACGGAUAACAUACCGAAAGGUAUGCUAAUACGAGAUAAUAUACUUUAUCUCAUGGUAGAAGUAUCAAAGCUCUGGCGGUACAGGAUGGACCCGCGUCUGAUUAGCUAGUUGGUAAGGUAACGGCUUACCAAGGCGACGAUCAGUAGCCGACCUGAGAGGGUGAUCGGCCACAUUGGAACUGAGACACGGUCCAAACUCCUACGGGAGGCAGCAGUGGGGAAUAUUGCACAAUGGGCGAAAGCCUGAUGCAGCAACGCCGCGUGAGCGAUGAAGGCCUUCGGGUCGUAAAGCUCUGUCCUCAAGGAGAUAAUGACGGUACGUUAGAGGAGGAAGACCCGGCGUAACUACGUGCCAGCAGCCGCGGUAA
Molecule: ribosomal RNA, 469 nt
Filed under: uncultured bacterium
Lineage: Bacteria
Description: bacterial SSU rRNA
Rfam family: Bacterial small subunit ribosomal RNA
Source: RNAcentral